Molecule: transfer RNA, 72 nt
Filed under: Camelus bactrianus (Bactrian camel)
Lineage: Eukaryota; Metazoa; Chordata; Mammalia; Artiodactyla; Camelidae
Also listed under: 2 other names
Rfam family: tRNA
About the family: Transfer RNA (tRNA) molecules are approximately 80 nucleotides in length.
Source: Rfam by way of RNAcentral
GGGCAUAUAGCACACUGGUAGAGUGCCUGCCUAGCAUGCACGAGGUCCUGGGUUUAGUCCCCAGUACCUCCA